AGUGAACGCUGGCGGUAGGCCUAACACAUGCAAGUCGAACGGCAGCACAGUAAGAGCUUGCUCUUACGGGUGGCGAGUGGCGGACGGGUGAGGAAUACAUCGGAAUCUACUUUUUCGUGGGGGAUAACGUAGGGAAACUUACGCUAAUACCGCAUACGACCUACGGGUGAAAGCAGGGGAUCUUCGGACCUUGCGCGAUUGAAUGGGCCGAUGUCGGAUUAGCUAGUUGGCGGGGUAAAGGCCCACCAAGGCGACGAUCCGUAGCUGGUCUGAGAGGAUGAUCAGCCACACUUGAACUGAGACACGGUCCCGACUCCUACGGGAGGGAACAGUGGGGAAUAUUGGACAAUGGGCGGAAGCCUGAUCCAGCCAUACCGCGUGGGUGAAGGAGGCCUUCGGGUUGUAAAGCCCUUUUGUUGGGAAAAAAAAGCAGCAGGUUAAUACCCCGCUGUUCUGACGGUACCCAAAGAAUAAGCACCGGCUAACUUCGUG
RNAcentral lists this ribosomal RNA (492 nucleotides) under uncultured bacterium. RNAcentral describes it as "partial 16S ribosomal RNA". It matches the Rfam family "Bacterial small subunit ribosomal RNA", at positions 29 to 507 of the family's 1533-position model. The record is from RNAcentral.